This 482-nucleotide ribosomal RNA is filed under the name uncultured bacterium. RNAcentral's name for it is "partial 16S ribosomal RNA". It matches the Rfam family "Bacterial small subunit ribosomal RNA", at positions 30 to 507 of the family's 1533-position model. The record is from RNAcentral.
AUUGAACGCUGGCGGCAUGCCUUACACAUGCAAGUCGAACGGUAACGGGCCUUCGGGUGCCGACGAGUGGCGAACGGGUGAGUAAUACAUCGGAACGUGCCCGAUCGUGGGGGAUAACGAGGCGAAAGCUUUGCUAAUACCGCAUACGAUCUACGGAUGAAAGCAGGGGACCGCAAGGCCUUGCGCGGACGGAGCGGCCGAUGGCAGAUUCGGUAGUUGGUGGGAUAAAAGCUUACCAAGCCGACGAUCUGUAGCUGGUCUGAGAGGAUGAUCAGCCACACUGGGACUGAGACACGGCCCAGACUCCUAAGGGAGGCAGCAGUGGGGAAUUUUGGACAAUGGGCGCAAGCCUGAUCCAGCCAGGCCGCGUGCAGGAUGAAAGCCUUCGGGUUGUAAACUGCUUUUGUACGGAACGAAAAGCCUUCUUUUAAUACAGGAGGGUCAUGACGGUACCGGAAGAAUAAGCACCGGCUAACUACGUG